RNAcentral lists this ribosomal RNA (258 nucleotides) under uncultured bacterium. RNAcentral describes it as "partial 16S ribosomal RNA". It matches the Rfam family "Bacterial small subunit ribosomal RNA", at positions 96 to 354 of the family's 1533-position model. The record is from RNAcentral.
UGGCGGACGGGUGAGUAACGCGUGGAAAACCUGCCGUAUACUGGGGGAUAACACUUAGAAAUAGGUGCUAAUACCGCAUAAGCGCACAGCUUCGCAUGAAGUGGUGUGAAAAACUCUGGUGGUAUACGAUGGUUCCGCGUCUGAUUAGCUAGUUGGUGGGGUAAUGGCCUACCAAGGCAACGAUCAGUAGCCGGCCUGAGAGGGUGAACGGCCACAUUGGGACUGAGACACGGCCCAAACUCCUACGGAAGGCAGCAG